GAACUGCGAUAAGUAAUGUGAAUUGCAGAAUUCAGUGAAUCAUCGAGUCUUUGAACGCACAUUGCGCCCCCUGGCAUUCCGGGGGGCAUGCCUGUCCGAGCGUCAUUGCUGCCCUUCAAGCCCGGCUUGUGUGUUGGGUCGUCGUCCCCCCCGGGGGACGGACCCGAAAGGCAGCGGCGGCACCGUGUCCGGUCCUCGAGCGUAUGGGGCUUUGUCACCCGCUCGAUUAGGCCCGGCCGGGCGCCCGCCGGCGUCAAACCCCAAUCUUUCUAAGGUUGACCUCGGAUCAGGUAGGGAUACCCGCUGAACUUAAGC
Molecule: unclassified non-coding RNA, 315 nt
Filed under: plant metagenome
Description: partial contains 5.8S ribosomal RNA, internal transcribed spacer 2, and large subunit ribosomal RNA
Rfam family: 5.8S ribosomal RNA (bases 1-105)
Source: RNAcentral